UGUUCAAUGUUUAAUGAAGUUUCGGUAAGUCAUCUAAACAUAAUUGUUAAGAACAACUGAAUUAAAGAAAUGUGAGAUGAAAGUUUAUAAAUGAACUUUUCAACAAUGAUUAUGUUUAAUAAGUGUGUGUACUUGAAAUUUUUUUUAAGUUUAUUAAUUUUUGAGAGAGAGAGAGAAAGCAUGAUUGGGGGAGGGGCAGAGAGAGAGAGAGAGAGAGAGAGAGACAGAAUCUGAAGCAGACUCCAGGCCCUGGAAGCUGUCAGCAGAGCCCGAUGGGGGGGCUCAAACACACAAAUAGUGAGAUCAUGACCUGAGCCAAAGUCAGACGCUCAACCAACUGAGCCACCCAAGCACCCCUAAAGUGUGUCCACUUUAAAAUAGUUUCCGAAAUAUUUUUGGUACCUUUAAAUCUUACAGUUCUACCAAGUAAAAGUGGAAUGAUUGGGGUGCCUGGGUGGCUCAGUCGGCUAAGCAUGGCUAAGCAUCCGACUUUGGCUCAGGUCAUGAUCUCACAGUUCAUGAGUUCAAGCCCCAUGUCAGGCUCUGUGCUGGCAGCUUGGAGCCUGGAGCCUGCUUGGGAUUCUGUGUCUCCCUCUCUCUCUGCUCCUCCCCUGCUCAUGCUCUGUUUCUCUCUCCUUCAAAAAUAAAUAAACAUUUAAAAAAAUUUUUAAGUGAAAUGGUGGGUAUUAAUUGAAUAUCUAGAUUAUUUACAAAUCAGUACCUGCUUUUGGCUUCCUAUUUAAAUGAAAGAAUUUUGGAGUCUGUUAGUAAACAUGUCUUGUGCCACGUUGAAAAUUGUGGAAAAUAGAUGCUUCUAGAAAUAAUGAAAUAGUAUAUUCAUGAAUUUGCCAAUCUAUAAGAUGUUGGUAUAUAACAGUUCAUAACUGCUUGCUUUUUAGUUUUCUCUAAGAAAGUAAGAUUUCUAAGAGAUAAGAAUUCCAACUAAUGUAUAUAAUUAAAACUACUAGUAAUAAUUCCCCAAACAGGGUAGAGCAAUUGUUUCCUCCCCUGCACCAUGUAUGUCCGGCCAUUACUCUGUCCAAUAAAAAGCAAAUCCAGACUCAGUAAGGAGAGACUUUAUUCAAAAGGAGACUUACAAGGGGGCAGGGAAAGAUAAUUGAAAUUGGUCAGGGGGACUGUUGCGAGAAGAGAACACCAUGAGUAUAAAGUCUUCAAGCAUCUCAAGAUUUAAGGAGGAAAUUUUUUUUUCUUUUGUAGAAAGGAAUAAACAAUGCUAGAAAGAACUGAGCUUUCUAGCACUGGGAAGGUGGGAUGAAAAGGCAAUGAAAGGGGAUAUUGGAUCAGAGGAAGUUUUACUCUAAAGGAGCUUAACCAAAGUUUGGUUAACAAGCAUUGUGCUUCAAUGGAGUAGCAGGGACAAGCAGUUCAGCUGAGCACUUCUGAGGCAAAGAACGAGGGUUUGGAGGGUCUGUGUCUGGCCUUACUACAGAUAAAUGAGGGGGACAUCUGUGAGUCUUAUCUAUGUCAUAUGGUGAGGGGUUGCUCCUUGCAGUAAGCAAUUUUCUGAAACAGAAAGGUAUAGGGAUUUCUUAACCUACAGUUAAUCAACAUUGCCAAUUCAUAGCAGCAGAUAACAUAAGAAACCUUUAAGAACCUGCAACUUGAGUGCCUGAAUGGGCCCUUUGGUUUCUUCAUUCUACAAAGGUCUAAUGAGGACCUGCUAUGUACUACUAUGUAUCUGCCGGGGAUACAGGGAACUAUAUCCCAUAAUGCUCCCUGCCUCUACAGUAUCAGUCAGGUCCGGCCUGAAAACAAAUAGCACACUCACUGUGAUCGGUAAAGGGACCAUGUUCAACAAUGUAGAGAGGGUCAGGGGAACCCACCAGGAAAGAUAUGGAUCCCCAGGGCUAGCCACAGCUCUCACAGGCCAGAGGAGGAAGCAAUUACAGGAACCCAGAAGGAUAGCCCUAGUUGUUAGCCAAAGGCUACAGAAAACCUCUGGCCUUUAGUGAAGUUCAAAAAAUAUAAACCACAGUCUUUAUGCAAAUAAAAUGAGCAUGCGCCAAAGAGUUUAUUCAGUUCAUUCAUUAAGGAAGGAAUUGGUGAGAUAGUAGGGCAGGUUCAAAUUCAGGAAACAUAACUUAUAUAGUCAGCCAAAGAAUAUCUGAAGUGAGUUUGCUAAUAUAUAUGAAACUGAUUAAUGCUUUCAUACAGAUGUCUGUAGCAGAUUGUUCAUAAUAACCAAAAAGUGGAAAUAAUCCAACGCCCAUCAAUUGAUGAAUGGACAGACAAAAUGUGCUACAUCCACACAGUGUAAAAUUCUCAGGACAAGUGACCCCAAUCAACAGGUUCACCACAUAGAAAUAAGUAGGUUUAUUAGUCACCUAGAGCUAUGUAAUGAAUUGCCACAAACUUAGUGGUUUAAAACAACACUCAUUUAUUAACUCAUGGUGUCCGUAGAGGGGGCAGUCCAGACAAGGCUCCAUGGGAUUCUGUGCUCAGCGUUUCACAAUGGAGGUGUUUACAAGCUGUGUUCUCACCUGGAGGCUGGACUAGAGAAGAAUCAUGUCCAAGUUCAUUUGUGUUGUUGGCACAAUUUAGUUCCUUGCAGUUGGAGGAUUGAGGUCUCCACUUUCUCACUUAUUAUUGGCCAGGAGUCACUCUCAGCUUGAAGAUGUGCGCAGGCUCUUGCCACAGGAUUCCCUCCAUCUUCAAAGCCAGCAAGGACAGGCUGACUCCUUCUCCAGUUGUGAAUCUCUGGCCUCUAACGUUCUCCACCUCUCACUUCUAGAUCCAGAGUUAGAGUUUGUGUAGGGGCGCCUGGGGUGGCUCAGUCAGUUAAGCAUCCAACUUUGGCUCAGGUCAUGAUCUCACUGUUUGUGGGUUCAAGCCCCACGUUGGGCUCUGUGCUGACAGCUUGAAUCCUGGAGCCUGCUUCAGAUUCUGUGUCUCCUUCUCUCUCUGCCCCUCCCCCACUCACACUCUUUCUUUCUCUCAAAAAUAAAUAAACAUUUAAAAUUUUUUAAAAAAAGAAGAGUUUGUAUAAAAAGCCCAGGCCCACCCGAAUAAUCUCUUUUGAUUAACUCAAAGUCAACUAAGCAAAACCUGCAAAAUCCCUUUUGCUGUAUAACAUAAUCAUGGAAGUGAUAUCCUGUCCUUUUCACAGGGAAGGAAGUUAUAUAAGGGCAGGGGUCAUUGGGGUUAGUCUUCAAUUCUGCCUACCAUAUACCAAUAUUGUUAAAAUACAUAUUAUUGGGCCUCACAUCUAGAAAUUCCAAUGCAGUCAGUCUCAGAUGGUCCUAAGGCUCAGUGUUAUUUAAAGCUUUUGAGGGGCGCCUGGGUGGCGCAGUCGGUUAAGCGUCGGACUUCAGCCAGGUCACGAUCUCGCGGUCCGUGAGUUGGAGCCCCGCGUCAGGCUCUGGGCUGAUGGCUCAGAGCCUGGAGCCUGUUUCCAAUUCUGUGUCUCCCUCUCUCUCUGCCCCUCCCCCGUUCAUGCUCUGUCUCUCUUUGUCCCAAAAAUAAAUAAACGUUGAAAAAAAAAAAUUAAAAAAAAAAAAAAAGCUUUUGAGAUGAUGCUGAGAAACAGCCCCCUUGCAGGUAUGUCUCACAAACCUGGAAUAGUUAUAACACGUGUUCAAUUUUCUCCAGAACAUCUGAAUCAGAGAUAGGACAGGUGAAAGAGAAAAAACAACAAAUGGACAGAAUAUGUUAGAGUUCUGGGGGUGCCUGGGUGGCUCAGUCGGUUAAGCAUCUAACUCUUGAUCUCUGGUCGGGUCUUGACCCCAAGGUCUUGAGUUCAUGCCCCGCGUUGGGCUCUGCACUGGGCGUGAAACCUACUUAAAAAAAGAGAAAGAGGGAAAUAAACUUACAGAGAAAUGCUGAAAAGGAAAAAAGAGAGAGUUCUAAAAAAACACUCAAAAAGAAGAAAAGCUGUUCAAAAUCACUUUCAGGCUUUCACAGUUUCUAGGUCAUUCCCAGAAAGUUCAUGCUACCAGAAAAAGAAAUAUAAAUGCGAAGGGGGGCAGAAUUAAAACAGUCCUGCGGUGGGAAUGCAAACUGGUGCAGCCACUCUGGAAAACAGUAUGGAGGUUCCUCAAAAAACUAAAAAUAGAACUACCCUAUGACCCACCAAUCGCACUACUAGGCAUUUAUCCAAGGGAUACGGGUGUGCUGUUUUGAAGGGACACAUGCACCCCAAUGUUUAUAGCAGCCCUAUCGACAAUAGCCAAAGUAUGGAAAGAGCCCAAAUGUCCAUCGACGGAUGAAUGGAUAAAGAAGAUGUGGUCUGUAUAUACAAUGGAGUAUUACUCGGCAAUCAAAAAGAAUGAACUCUUGCCAUUUGCAACUACAUGGAUGGAACUGGAGGGGAUUAUGCUAAGCGAAAUUAGUCAAAGAAAGACAAAUAUCAUACGACCUCACUCAUAUGAGGACUUUAAGACACAGAACAGGGGUGCCUGGGUGGCUAAGCCUCCGACUUCAGCUCAGGUCACAAUCUCGUAGUUCGUGGGUUCGAGCCCCGCGUCGGGCUCUGUGCUGACAGCUCAGAGCCUGGAGCCUGUUUCAGAUUCUGUGUCUCCCUCUCUCUCUGACCCACCCCGUUCAUGCUCUAUCUCUCUCUGUCUCAAAAAUAAAUAAACGUUAAAAAAAGUUUAAAAAAAAAAGACACAGAACAGAUGAACACAAGGGAAGGGAAGUAAAAAUAAUAUAAAAACAGGGAGGGGGACAAAACAGAAGAGACUCAUAAAUAUGGAGAACAAACUGAGGGUUACAGGAGGGGUUGUGGGAGGGGGGAUGGGCUAAAUGGGUCAGGGGCAUUAAGGAAUCUACUCCUAAAAUCAUUGUUGCACUAUAUGUUAACUAAUUUGGAUGUAAAUUUUAAAAAAUAAAAAAUAAAAUUAAAAAAAAACAGUCCUGCAGAUGAGUAAUGGAGAAUGGUCACACAACAAUGUGAAUGUACCUAAUGCCCUUGCACUGCACACUUUAACACGAUUAAGAUGUUAAAUAUUAGGUACAUUUUACAAGAUUAAAAAAAAAUUUUUUAGCGAGAUGUAUUGAAUUAUCAUGUGGUUGCAUAAAAAUGGUAACAUAUGGGUACCACGUUUUGUAACUGAUGUGCAAACACACGUAUGUGUUUUCAAGUUUCUGUUUCUAUUUUGAUUUUUAUAUUGCUAUUUAAAAAUAUAUAUAUGGUAAGAGCCUUGUAAAAUUAAAUGUGUACCAACACUGUAACUAAUCAGUUCACGUCUAGGUGUUUCCCUGAUAACGAUGAACAUGUGUUAACCGACAGGUGCCCAGUGCUGUUUGUAGCCGCAUUAUUCAUAAUAAGCAAAACCGGGAAACAACCCAAAUGUCCGUCAACUAGGGAACAGAUUUCUAAAGAACAAAAAUUCAAUGGAAUAAAUUUAACAAUCCAUCAGUUCGGGAGCAUCCCUUCCAGAAAAUGGCACUCUGGAGCGGUAUAAAACAAAGUUUUUCUGAGCGAGAGAGUGGAGCAAAGAAGUUAUUACAAAACAAAAGAAAAGACUGUUUCAGGGGCACCUUGGUGACUCAGUCCGUUAAGUGUCUAACUCUUGGUCUCUUGGUUUCUGCUCAGGUCACAAUCUCACGGUUGUGGGAUCCAGCCCUGCUUGAGACUCUCUCUCUCCCUCUGCCCUUCUUCCUUGUUUGUGGUCUCUUUCUGUAAAAAAAAAAAAAAAAAAGUUUCAGGCUAAGCCCCAUUCAUUCUACAGAAGAGGAAGAGGAAAUAGAAAGGAUCUUAGUUCAUGCAUUACCUCAUUAGCACUGAUCAGGACCUUUCAGGUUGACUGUUCAAAAAUCACGUUUUGGGGAGGUUGAGGCUGCCAUCAUGUCUAGGCUUGCCAUCGUGGGAGCAAAUGACUCCAUUCAGGGUCGUUGUUUCUUUUCCAACAGGAUAAGCAAACUGAGCUCCAUUUGUACAAUGAAAUGUUACUCAACAACGAAGAAGGAAUGAACUGCUGAUACACAGAACAUGGCUGAACUUCAGAAACCUUAUUUUGAGUGAAAGAUGCCAGACACCAACAAACACACUCUAUAUACUUCUACAUAUCAGACGUUCAGGAACAAUUUUAUGCAUCGUAAUGAGUGUCAGAACAAUGGUUACAACAACACAACAAUGGUUACAACCCUGUUGUGUCGACUUGGGAAGGACACAUAGGACAUUUCUGGAGUGAUGGAAAUGGUCCGAAUCUUGGAAGGAAUGUGGGUUACCGAGAUAAAAGCGUCGGUCAAUAUCAUUGCAAUGCUAUGCUUGUAAUUAUGUAAAUUCUAUGUCCAUUAAAAACCCUGUGAUUUGGGGGUGCCUGGGUGGCUCAGUCAGUUAAGA
Molecule: long non-coding RNA, 6304 nt
Filed under: Lynx pardinus (Iberian lynx)
Lineage: Eukaryota; Metazoa; Chordata; Mammalia; Carnivora; Felidae
Source: RNAcentral